AGGACGAACGCUGGCGGCGCGCCUAAUACAUGCAAGUCGAGCGAGAACCAGGGCUUCGGCCCUGGGGAGAGCGGCGAACGGGUGCGUAUCACGUGAGCAACCUGCCUCGGAGACCGGAAUAACUCGAGGAAACUCGGGCUAAUGCCGGAUGCCCUCGGUGGACCGCAGUGGUCCGGCGAGGAAAUGGAUUCCGCUCCGAGAUGGGCUCGCGGCCUAUCAGCUUGUGGUGGGUAACGGCCUACCGAAGGCGACGACGGUAGCUGGGUCUGAGAGGACGAUACAGCCACACGUGGGACCUGAGACACGGCCCAGACUCCGUACGGGAGCA
RNAcentral lists this ribosomal RNA (328 nucleotides) under uncultured soil bacterium. RNAcentral describes it as "bacterial SSU rRNA". It matches the Rfam family "Bacterial small subunit ribosomal RNA", at positions 26 to 349 of the family's 1533-position model. The record is from RNAcentral.